This 245-nucleotide ribosomal RNA is filed under the name uncultured bacterium. RNAcentral's name for it is "partial small subunit ribosomal RNA". It matches the Rfam family "Bacterial small subunit ribosomal RNA", at positions 26 to 285 of the family's 1533-position model. The record is from RNAcentral.
AGAAUCAACGCUGGCGGCGUGCCUAACACAUGCAAGUCGAACGAGAAAGGGUAGCAAUACCUGAGUAAAGUGGCGCACGGGUGAGUAACACGUGACUAACCUACCCUGGAGUGGGGGAUAACUGGGAGAAAUCCUAGCUAAUACCGCAUAACACCUACGGGUCAAAGGAGCAAUUCGCUUCAGGAGGGGGUCGCGGCAGAUUAGAUAGUUGGCGGGGUAAUGGCCCACCAAGUCAGUGAUCUGUA